CGGAGAGUAGCUCAGCCUGGUAGAGCACCACGUUCGGGACGUGGGGGCCGGAGGUUCGAAUCCUCUCUCUCCGACCA
Molecule: transfer RNA, 77 nt
Filed under: Rhizomicrobium palustre
Lineage: Bacteria; Pseudomonadati; Pseudomonadota; Alphaproteobacteria; Micropepsales; Micropepsaceae
Also listed under: 9 other names
Description: tRNA-Pro
Rfam family: tRNA
About the family: Transfer RNA (tRNA) molecules are approximately 80 nucleotides in length. Their secondary structure includes four short double-helical elements and three loops (D, anti-codon, and T loops). Further hydrogen bonds mediate the characteristic L-shaped molecular structure. tRNAs have two regions of fundamental functional importance: the anti-codon, which is responsible for specific mRNA codon recognition, and the 3' end, to which the tRNAs corresponding amino acid is attached (by aminoacyl-tRNA synthetases). tRNAs cope with the degeneracy of the genetic code in two manners: having more than one tRNA (with a specific anti-codon) for a particular amino acid; and 'wobble' base-pairing, i.e. permitting non-standard base-pairing at the 3rd anti-codon position.
Source: RNAcentral